UUACGGCCAUAUCACGUUGAAACAUCGGUUCCCGUACAAUCACUGAAGUUAAGCAACGUCGAGCCUGGUCAGUACCUAGAUGGGUAACCGCUUGGAAAUACCA
Molecule: ribosomal RNA, 103 nt
Filed under: Acanthosepion pharaonis
Lineage: Eukaryota; Metazoa; Mollusca; Cephalopoda; Sepiida; Sepiidae
Source: RNAcentral